UACAGAGGGUGCGAGCGUUGUCCGGAAUCACUGGGCGUAAAGGGCGCGUAGGCGGCUUGGUAAGUAGGGGGUGAAAUCUUGCGGCUCAACUGCAAGGCUGCCUCCUAAACUGCCUGGCUGGAGCACGGUAGAGGCAGAUGGAAUUCCCGGUGUAGCGGUGGAAUGCGUAGAGAUCGGAAAGAACACCAACGGCGAAAGCACUCUGCUGGGCCGACACUGACACUGAGAGACGAAAGCUAGGGGAGCGAAUGGG
Molecule: ribosomal RNA, 253 nt
Filed under: uncultured bacterium
Lineage: Bacteria
Description: partial 16S ribosomal RNA
Rfam family: Bacterial small subunit ribosomal RNA
Source: RNAcentral